UUAGCAUGGAAUAAUGGAAUAGGACGUGUGGUUCUAUUUUGUUGGUUUCUAGGACCGCCGUAAUGAUUAAUAGGGAUAGUCGGGGGCAUCAGUAUUCAAUUGUCAGAGGUGAAAUUCUUGGAUUUAUUGAAGACUAACUACUGCGAAAGCAUUUGCCAAGGAUGUUUUCAUUAAUCAGUGAACGAAAGUUAGGGGAUCGAAGACGAUCAGAUACCGUCGUAGUCUUAACCAUAAACUAUGCCGACUAGGGAUCGGGCGAUGUUAUCUUUUUGACUCGCUCGGCACCUUACGAGAAAUCAAAGUUUUUGGGUUCUGGGGGGAGUAUGGUCGCAAGGCUGAAACUUAAAGAAAUUGACGGAAGGGCACCACCAGGAGUGGAGCCUGCGGCUUAAUUUGACUCAACACGGGGAAACUCACCAGGUCCAGACACAAUAAGGAUUGACAGAUUGAGAGCUCUUUCUUGAUUUUGUGGGUGGUGGUGCAUGGCCGUUCUUAGUUGGUGGAGUGAUUUGUCUGCUUAAUUGCGAUAACGAACGAGACCUUAACCUGCUAAAUAGCCCGGCUAGCUUUGGCUGGUCGCUGGCUUCUUAGAGGGACUAUCGGCUCAAGCCGAUGGAAGUUUGAGGCAAUAACAGGUCUGUGAUGCCCUUAGAUGUUCUGGACCGCACGCGCGCUACACUGACAGAGCCAACGAGUUCAUCACCUUGGCCGAAAGGUCUGGGUAAUCUUGUUAAACUCUGUCGUGCUGGGGAUAGAGCAUUGCAAU
RNAcentral lists this ribosomal RNA (766 nucleotides) under uncultured fungus. RNAcentral's name for it is "SSU rRNA". It matches the Rfam family "Eukaryotic small subunit ribosomal RNA", at positions 804 to 1590 of the family's 1831-position model. Lineage: Eukaryota; Fungi. The record is from RNAcentral.